Molecule: ribosomal RNA, 447 nt
Filed under: uncultured bacterium
Lineage: Bacteria
Description: partial 16S ribosomal RNA
Rfam family: Bacterial small subunit ribosomal RNA
Source: RNAcentral
AGCGAACGCUGGCGGCAGGCCUAACACAUGCAAGUCGAACGCCCCGCAAGGGGAGUGGCAGACGGGUGCGUAACGCGUGGGAAACUUCCUUUUAGUUCGGAAUAGCCCAGGGAAACUUGGAUUAAUACCGAAUACGCCCUACGGGGGAAAGAUUUAUCGCUAAAAGAUGUGCCCGCGUUGGAUUAGCUAGUUGGUAAGGUAAUGGCUCACCAAGGCGAUGAUCCAUAGCUGGUCUGAGAGGAUGAUCAGCCACACUGGAACUGAGACACGGUCCAGACUCCUACGGGAGGCAGCAGUGGGUAAUAUUGGACAAUGGGCGCAAGCCUGAUCCAGCCAUGCCGCGUGAAUGACGAAGGCCUUCGGGUUGUAAAGUUCUUUUAGUGGGGAAAAUAAUGAUGGUACCCACAGAAAAAGCUCCGGCUAACUUCGUGCCAGCCGCCGCCGUAA